CCUACGGGUGGCAGCAGUGGGGAAUAUUGGGCAAUGGAGGAAACUCUGACCCAGCAAUGCCGCGUGAAUGAAGAAGGUCUUCGGAUUGUAAAGCUCUUUCAUCAGGGAAGAAUAAAAUGAUGGUACUUGAAGAAUAAGCGCCGGCAAACACGGGCCCAGCAGCGGGGGUAAUAGGGGGGAUGCAGGGGUUAUCCGGAUUUAUGGGGGUAAAGGGGGGGGCAGGGGGUCUUCUAAGUCAGUGGGAAAGCCGUGGGGUUCAACCCCAUACAGCCGUUGAAACUGGGGGUCUAGAGUGUGGGAGAGGCAGGCGGAAUGCGUGGUGUAGCGGUGAAAUGCGUAGAUAUCACGCGGAACCCCAGUGGCGAAGGCAGCCUGCCGGUGGACAACUGACGCUGAGGCACGAAAGCGUGGGGAGCAAACAGGAUUAGAUACCCUGGUAGUC
RNAcentral lists this ribosomal RNA (442 nucleotides) under uncultured bacterium. RNAcentral describes it as "partial 16S ribosomal RNA". It matches the Rfam family "Bacterial small subunit ribosomal RNA", at positions 338 to 795 of the family's 1533-position model. The record is from RNAcentral.